This 253-nucleotide ribosomal RNA is filed under the name uncultured bacterium. Its description in RNAcentral is "partial 16S ribosomal RNA". It matches the Rfam family "Bacterial small subunit ribosomal RNA", at positions 524 to 776 of the family's 1533-position model. The record is from RNAcentral.
UACGUAGGGAGCGAGCGUUGUCCGGAUUUACUGGGUGUAAAGGGUGCGUAGGCGGGAAAGCAAGUCAGGUGUGAAAUACCGGGGCUCAACUCCGGGGCUGCGCUUGAAACUGUUUUUCUUGAGUGAAGUAGAGGCAGGCGGAAUUCCUAGUGUAGCGGUGGAAUGCGUAGAUAUUAGGAGGAACACCAGUGGCGAAGGCGGCCUGCUGGGCUUUAACUGACGCUGAGGCACGAAAGCAUGGGGAGCAAACAGG